RNAcentral lists this unclassified non-coding RNA (2278 nucleotides) under Polistes canadensis. RNAcentral describes it as "phosphatidate cytidylyltransferase, photoreceptor- specific, transcript variant X2". Lineage: Eukaryota; Metazoa; Arthropoda; Insecta; Hymenoptera; Vespidae. The record is from RNAcentral.
AUUUUCUAGCAUUUUUUUAGACUUAGAAAUAAUCUGCAAGUUAUUUAAUCAAGCAUGUGUGUGUGUGCGUGAAUGUGUGUGCGCAUAAUUGCAUAAAUAUCCCUUAAAUAACUCUGCCUUUUCAUUGGCUGGAUACUGGAAGACUAAAUUUGGAUAUCAGUGGUUCUUUAUUGGUUGUUAUUAUUCGCGCCAAGAUAGGUCAUCAUUGUACAGCCAAUAUCUAAACAGAAUAUGCAAUAGGAUUGAUUUGCUGCUCGUUGAAUAACAUUCAAGUAACAGUUGGUACUUGUAAAUUCUCCAUAUUGGCCUUCUUCUCUUACUUUCUUUUUUCGUUUUUUUUUUAAUUAUCGAUUUUCCGAAGAUUACCGAUCGGAUCCGAAAAUGGACGAGACGUCGGUGCAUUAAUCUGGUAUUUUAUUCGCGCGAACAGUUCGUGACGCCCGCCCAGUUUAGUUACUAAUGAUCAUUUUAUGCAUACAGAAAUAUGCAGUUGUAUCGUUCGUAUCAACCGUCAUACACACAUAAACAUAUAUAAGUUUUAAGUAUUCCUUUUGAUUUUAAAUUAAUCAGUAAUCGUGUCGAUAGUAUUUGGUAAGAAAUGUCAGAACUUCGUAAAAGAACUGUAGAAGAUACGUCGUCCGCAGCUACGCGGGAUGUCAACGAUGAUCAGCUAGUAACAGGGAUACGUCAACAUUCUUUGCCCCCGCUAAAAGAAGAAAUUGAAUCGGAGGAUGAUGCCAAGUUGGAAGUGGAAGAUUUAUCAAAAACUUUGCCGCAAGGAACGCAUCAUACUCCCCAACUUUUAAACCCUGUUCUUUCUGGUCUUUCAGAUCGUUGGAAAAAUUGGAUCAUCAGAAGUAUUUCAACGUCAGUUAUGAUAGCUGUAUUUGGUUUUAUAAUAUAUGGCGGGCCAUUAGUACUUAUGAUCACGACAUUAAUAGUUCAAGUUAAAUGUUUCGAAGAGAUCAUUAAUAUUGGAUAUGCGGUAUAUAGAAUUCAUGGUUUACCAUGGUUCAGAUCGCUAUCCUGGUAUUUUCUGAUAACUUCUAAUUAUUUCUUCUACGGGGAAAAUUUAAUGGAUUACUUUGGAGUAGUGAUCAAUCAAACGGAAUAUUUACGCGUACUAGUGACAUAUCAUCGAUUUAUUUCAUUUUGCCUCUACAUCAUCGGUUUUGUAUGGUUUGUACUGUCGCUCGUAAAGAAAUAUUAUAUGAAACAAUUUUCUUUGUUCGCAUGGACACACGUCGCACUAUUAAUAGUAGUGACACAAAGUUAUCUCAUAAUACAAAAUAUUUUCCAAGGAUUAAUAUGGUUUAUCGUACCAGUGAGUAUGAUAGUUAUAAACGAUGUCAUGGCUUACAUGUUUGGAUUCUUUUUUGGAAGAACGCCUUUGAUCAAAUUGUCUCCAAAGAAAACGUGGGAAGGUUUCAUAGGUGGUGGUGUUUCAACAGUUAUCCUUGGAUUAUUGAUGUCCUAUGUUAUGUGCCAAUAUCGCUAUUUCGUUUGUCCUAUUGAAUAUAGCGAAGCUUUAGGUAGGAUGACAAUGGAUUGUGAACCAUCCAGUUCAUUCCAACCGCAAGAAUAUGUAUUACCAAAGAGUUUACAAGUAAUUACAAGAAUGAUCAAUGGAAAGGAGACCUUGACUUUAUAUCCCUUUUUACUUCAUUCUUUGUCAAUGUCUAUAUUUAGUUCAGUCAUUGGACCAUUUGGAGGCUUUUUUGCCAGUGGUUUCAAACGAGCUUUCAAAAUUAAGGACUUUGGAGAUGUCAUUCCUGGCCAUGGUGGAAUAAUGGAUAGAUUUGACUGCCAAUAUUUAAUGGCAACGUUCGUCAAUGUGUAUAUUUCGUCAUUUAUACAGACAGCUUCACCUCAAAAACUUUUACAACAGGUUUUUAGUUUAAAACCCGAACAACAGUUACAACUGUUUCAAUCUUUAAAAGAUUCUUUAGAAAACAGAGGUCUCAUAAAUAUGUGUUGAUUUAAAAGAGAAUACACAUUUCUUAAUAAUAAUAAUAAUAAUAAUUACAAGAAUUUCUGUAGCAUCACAUACAAUGAAUGUAUGAGAGAAAUAAUUACUCUGUCAUUUAACAGUACAAAUAAUGUUCAACAAGGGAACAUGUUUUUCCAUCCAAUCGUAUAAUUAAAUACUACAGGUAUCUAUAUUUAUCAGAUCUCAAUAUAUUAGUUGCUAAUAAUUACGCAUUUAUGAAUCAAUUUUUGCAAGUAUGUCUUAUUAGACUUAAAGAGUAAUUUUUUAUUUUUUAAAUAAUUGACAUUC